Molecule: ribosomal RNA, 233 nt
Filed under: uncultured bacterium
Lineage: Bacteria
Description: partial 16S ribosomal RNA
Rfam family: Bacterial small subunit ribosomal RNA
Source: RNAcentral
ACGCUCGACACCUACGGGAGGCAGCAGUAGGGAAUCUUCCACAAUGGGCGCAAGCCUGAUGGAGCAACACCGCGUGAGUGAAGAAGGGUUUCGGCUCGUAAAGCUCUGUUGUUGGAGAAGAACGUGCGUGAGAGUAACUGUUCACGCAGUGACGGUAUCCAACCAGAAAGUCACGGCUAACUACGUGUCAGCAGCCGCAAGUAAUCUGGAGGGCCGGGUCGUGGACGAACGGC